Maylandia zebra (zebra mbuna) is the source of this 1433-nucleotide long non-coding RNA. RefSeq lists it as uncharacterized. The record is from RefSeq and is a predicted model, not a curated record. NCBI's taxonomy places the organism in Eukaryota, Metazoa, Chordata, Actinopteri, Cichliformes, Cichlidae.
CAGACCUGGUGAUAAUUGCUUCUAUAGAAAGUUAGCACAUGGCAGUGUCAAUCUCUUGCUUUUCUUCUGAGUAGUAUUUUAUUUAGUUGUAAUUCAAACAAUAAUUUGCUUCUUGAAAUUAAGGAAUUAAUUAUUUUUUUUCUUUAUAAAUCUCAGAUCCUGCCUUUACCUGCUCCCUCCUAUACUGAUGUGGUGUAUGUGGUAUUGCUGAGCUUGUAUGUGGUGGAAGCAGAAUAUGUGAGGAUUACUACUGCUGCACAUGUUCCAAGGCUUUUUACACAACUUGACCAAUACACUGACCAGCUCAUAAAAGUCUUCAAGAAAAAAGGAGGCGUUGCAGGGAAGAAAAUUAGACAAACUUUGGCCCCAGCCACACAGAAGGAAACCAUUGAAAAGGGGAGGGAGUGUGUCCUCAGGGCACUACCUUUUUACCUGAAUGAAGACCCAAGCAUCCUCUUCAAAGAAUAAUUGCUACAGCUGUUCAGAGGGAGCUGGAACAAAUUACCCUUGCUAUCUUUACCAUCGAAAGAGCUGAUGCCAGCACUCCUCCAGCCGAUGUGGGUGUAAGCGCCAGACGUCUGCUUUAUAUUUUUAUUUACGAUUGAGUUCAUGUUUGUUUUAUAAUUCAUAGAUUCAUUACAUAAGUCAUCUUUUCAGGAUUAAUAAAUGUGAAAAUAUAUGUGUUUACAUAAAGUAAUUUUAAGUCACUGUUUUGGGAUUGGAACCUAAAAGGGGGUACCUCUCACUUUAAUUAUGUAAGUGCAAUAGUAGCAUGAAACCCUGUGUGAGAGGGAAGGGGAGGAGCAUGGACAGAGAGGUUAGGAGUCUCACGGUUUUCUGACCGUGUGCACAGCUAGUUCUGGAUAACUGCUAUUUUUUGGAACUUUCAUGCUUUUUAGGAAGGAGUUCAUUGUUACAUCUUCCGUUUGUAAUAAAUAAACAGUCUUCAAAUCAUAAUGCAACUGGAAGCAUUUCUUUUGGAAACCAGGAACACGCGUCAGCCAUAGACUCUUCUUUUUUGAACUUGGUUUAUUGGAAAUUACCCUACAGUGGGUAUAACCAUCUAGUGUGUCCUGCAUGACCUGGAAGACCUGGCCUCUGCAUGUGCACUCUUAAUGGGUGGGAUAUAUGCACUGAAUCUCAGUUAACCUCAAGACUGAAAGCUAAGAGACAAUCAAAAGUAUUGAGAUUUAAAGGAUUUAAUUGAGAGAUGAUACUGCACCAGAAAUGUUGAAGGGUGGUGUGUAUAUUAGCGUUCAAGGCAUAUUGUUAUGAGGUGGAAAUAUGUUCAUAUUCAGUUUGUGUUACAUUGUGUGCAUUGUAAAGGUAAUUGCAAUACAUACUAAAAUUAAGGGUAAGUUAGGAGGUUGAUCUGAUAUCCUCGUGUUGGUGUUGUUCCCAGAUCAUCAUACUAAAUGUUGUUCCAGGAUCAA